RNAcentral lists this ribosomal RNA (3771 nucleotides) under Triticum aestivum (bread wheat). RNAcentral's name for it is "partial small subunit ribosomal RNA". The record is from RNAcentral. Lineage: Eukaryota; Viridiplantae; Streptophyta; Magnoliopsida; Poales; Poaceae.
AUGGCUGAAGAUACGCUCAAGGGAGGGCCUAAAGGUCGCCGUAGUCAUCCCAUCAGUGAAACUCCAUUUGAGGCAUUUUAUGAUGGCUCAUGGCAUGGAGUUAAUUGUAUAAAGGUCAGGGAUGGCGGUCUGUUCGUUAUAUUUAUCUACUCUGGUUCCACAGUCGAGCAUAAUGUGGAUGGGGAACAUCUGCGCCUACGCUCCAGAAGAGCUACGUACUUCGACUGCUCGCAUGUUCUCAAGCCAGGUGUUGAUAUCUGUGUACAAUCAUCUCAUCCACUGCAAGGAAGUCCAACUGGGGAAUUGAAAUCUUUGAUGUUACUGUCUCAUGAUGCAAGGCUCAUCACAAUCAAAAGAAAUCAUAUUGAAGAUCAGUGUCUCUGCUUGUUUGUUAUUAUGCUCCACAAGAACCAAUGUCCUGACAAUACAGAAAAUGGAGAAGUGAUAUCUGAUAGAAGAGAGCAGCUGGUGACCCUAAACAAUAUCUUCCUCUUGCAAAAGCUCCAACCUAAGGAGCUCCAUGAGGGAAGCGUACAAUGGAGUUCUGCAGAGGACUGCCUCUCUCACAACAGAAGCAAGCUGUUAAGUGCAAGAUUCUCCCAAGAAAUUGCACAUCUCGUAGUUUUGUCUAUCCUGAAUGGAAUGGAGUUCAGCAUCAAGUUGGUAGAAGGAAACAUCAUCUAUAGAAUCAUCAAAGGAGGCCGAGCGCGUUGUAAUCUUGAUUCCAUGAGCACACCUCCAGGCUUUGGCAACAGCAUGGAGAUAGUUUCAUUCCAACUGCGCAAUGAGGCUUUAUGUCCAAUUAUCAGAAAUAUCCCUGUCACUCAUGCAAAGAAGCGCAAUCUCACAGAAGACGCGGGAUUCACUAUGAAGGCUGAACUGGAUGGUCAAUUGGAAGACAGGAGAUUUACAGUCAAGACUGAGUUGGAUGGUCUUUUGGAUGUUUUCUCGUAUGAACAAGUGGAUUUGAGGCGCUCAAAGCGUCGGAAAACUCAAGCAGAGCGCUUUACUAGCUAUGAUACGCCUAAUUUCGGCCGUGACAGGUGGAAGAGAUGUGAUGCACCUUCCACCAAGCAUGGCAAUUCACAAAGAGCUUCACGUCGAGAUUCACCAGUUGCAGUAGAAUCAACCUAUGCAGAGGUCCCAGUGAAUAUCACACGGAAACAAACAAGUGCAACCGCUUUCGUGGUCAAGGAAAACCCAAACUCCGCAGAAGGGAAGCAUAAGAGCACAGCAAGGAUAACUCCUGUUAAGGAAAAACCCAGCUCUAUGGAAGUUAAGGAGGAGAGCACAUUUGAAGAAAGAUCUCCGGGUCCUCAUGUUCCACGGACACCUGCAAAGAGUAAGGAGAAGAAUCUUUGCCCCCCUUUAUCUCUUCGGCGGAAGUCAUUUACUUCAUCACGCGGCCUAAAUGGCAAUUCUGAGCCAGUAUUUGGUCGGAAAAGGAAGGAACGCAUAUGCGAAAGAGAAUACAAGAAAAUGAUAAACCAAUGCAUAGGAAACAUCCAGAGUGAAAUGGAGAGGGACUUUGAGUUCAAUCUAGGUGUUCCGAUGAUGAAUUACGAUCAAGGUUUUUACGGAGAAGUGAAUUUCACAUGGCCAGCUUCUUCUGCCGAUAAUGACAGUCAAGAAGAGAAAGAUGGUCUUGAGGAAUUUUGGGAAGAAAUGGACCACUCAUUGACCACACUAGCGCUUGAGAAAAAUCAGGACUCACAUUCAGAAGCAGUUCAUGAAGCCACUGCUGGUUUAGGUAAAAGUGAAGAAAAUCCAUGUGAUCAUGACUGCAUGCUGGAUGAGGGGCUUGGACUGGUGUGCAGAUUAUGUAAUGUUGUAUGUGUGGAGAUAAAGCAUAUCUUUCCGCAAAUGGCCAAUGGUAAUGGCUAUAAUAAGGAGAGACCUGGAUGCCGCAAUUGUGAUCCUGAUGAUCUUGUACUUGAUCCUUCUCUUCUUGCAAUCUUGGGACCAGAGUUUUCAGAACUGAGGGGCUCCGGGAACCUGUGGAGUUUAAUACCAGAUCUUGAGCCUAAACUACUUCCUCACCAAAGGAAUGCAUUCGAAUUCAUUUGGAAAAACUUGGCGGGAUCGCUGCAACUCGAGGAAAUGGAUAAUCCAACAGCCAGUACAGGUGGCUGUGUGGUUGCACAUACUCCUGGAUCAGGGAAAACUCUGCUGCUGAUCUCAUUUCUUGUCAGUUACUUGAAAGUUCACCCGAGAAGCCGGCCGUUGGUGCUUACUCCAAAAUCUGCUAUCCAUACAUGGAUGAGAGAAUUUGAGAAAUGGGGCAUUUCACUUCCUCUGCAUGUGCUUCACCAGGUUGACAAAAGAGGCAAGCCAAUGGGGCCUAUUGAUCCUAGGCUGCAGGCAAUUUUAAGCAAUUUUCGCCGCCCGAACUGGAAAAGUAUUUGCCUUGUGGAUCGGCUGGACAAGUUAUGCAAGUGGCAUGAGCACCCCAGUGUUCUCCUCAUGACAUACUCAUCUUUCUUACGGCUGGCCAAACAAGACUCAAGAAUGCCGCAGCGAGCAUUCAUGGCGCAAGUCCUGAUCAACAACCCUGGGCUGUUGAUCCUCGACGAGGGUCACAACCCAAGGAGCAACAAAUCCAAGUUGCGGAGGGUGCUGAUGAAGGUGAAGACUGAGUUUAGAAUCCUCAUGUCUGGUACGGUCUUCCAGAAUAACUUUGAAGAGUAUUUCAACACCCUAUCUCUGGCCAGACCUCGGUUUGUGGACGAUGUUAUGACCGCGCUUGUCCCGGAAAGGAAGAAGGAAACGAGGGGCAGGAGAGCUAAACAUAGAGAAGCAGUGGCAAGGCGCAUCUUCGUGGACAGAGUUGGGCAGAUGAUUGAGUCCAGCGACAACUGGGACCGGCAAGGUGGUAUCAGCUUGUUAAACAAGCUUACAUGUGGGUUCAUCGAUUCAUUCGAAGGGUCAAAGCUAAGGAGCCUUCCAGGGAUACAUGUAUACACAAUUUUCAUGAAACCCACUGAAAUUCAGGAGGAUAUACUUUCAAGAAUAUCGAUGGCCACGUCAUGCGGUGGCCGUUACCUUCUCGAGGUUGAGCUGCUCAUCACCAUUGCUUCUAUCCAUCCAUGGCUUAUAAAAACAACCAAAUCUUCUAGCACUUACUUCACUCCAGAAGAAAUUCAUAAAGUUGACAGGUACAAGAGGGACUUUGCUGUCGGUUGCAAGGCGAGGUUUGUCAUCGACCUGCUGCACAAGUCGUCGUACAGGGGGGAGAGGGUGCUGAUAUUCUGCCACAACGUGUCCCCGAUAAGCUUUCUCGUCGAGUUGAUCGAGAAUGUGUUCGGAUGGCGCCUCGGGGAGGAAGUCCUGGUGCUCCAAGGUGAUCAGGAGCUGCCUGUCCGCUCCGACGUCAUGGAUAAGUUUAACACCGACAGUCAAGGUAAGAGGAAGGUGCUCAUUGCUUCGACGACGGCCUGCGCCGAGGGUAUCAGCUUGACAGGUGCAUCAAGGUUGGUCAUGCUGGAUUCGGAGUGGAACCACUCCAAGACCAGGCAGGCGAUCGCGCGGGCGUUCAGGCCCGGCCAGGAGAGGACCGUGUAUGUCUACCUGCUGGUGGCAUCUGGUACAUGGGAGGAGGACAAGUACAGCCGCAACAGGAGGAAGGCUUGGAUGGCCAAGAUGGUCUUCCACGGACGCUAUUUCGAUGUUCCGCUACGGAACGCGGUGACUGCUAUCGAUGAUGGUCUUCUCAAGGAGCUUGCUGAUGAAGAUAAGACCAAAACCUUCCAUAUGAUAGUUAAGCAGGACUGA